AUUACCUUUUUGGAGAAUCAUCAUUAACACAAAUAAAACUCAAAACGAUGAGGUUCUAAUGGGUAUUUUAGCUCAGUUAGGUAAAAUUCGAAGGCAUUGGAACUCAGUAGGGAAUUAUUUACUAUAUGGGGGUGAGUGGAUGUAGGUGGGAAGAGCAUCUGUGUAGGUGGAGUUUGUGAAUGAUACAGUAAUUAUUCUUCAGUGCUUUGCCUCAAGACGGCCUACUUUCUUUGAAAUAAGCCUUCAGGCUCCCUUCAAAGUAAGUCCACAUUCCCCAAACUGAUUGCAUGUUUGGAGCCUAUCACUAAGUGAAAUCCCCUAAACAUAACAUCCUGGUAGAAGAUCAUCAGCUCCUCCCUGGAGCUGUGGUGUGUGAGAACUAUUACUUCCCUAGAGAGGUCUUUAAAGCAUUGGGAUAGCCCAAGGAAAUGGACACAGGUCAAGGUAAAAGCAACUAAGUAGUCUUGAGUUACACAGCAUAGCUCAGGGUUACAUUAUCUGAAUAGAUAGGCUUAGUGUUCGCCUCAGAAGUUGGAGAGAAGACAGAGAGCAUGUGCAUGCGCAGAAAUUGCUGCUCUUAGGCCCUCUGAUUUCCUCUUCUUUCCUUUCAUUAUGGAUUCACCAGUUCUGAAAUAAUUAAAAGACUAGCCCACCAUUUAUGUACUGUAUACCUUUUUCUCUGGCCACAUAAAUCCACUGGUGAAACCAUCUGGGCUUGUCUAACUCUUCCCCCGUUGGAGCAGCCUCUUCACUGGUCACAAGAGCCAUACAUACCUCUUAUUCUCUGACACAGAGGUGCCAUUACUGCUACACAGAUACUGUUGGUUUUUUCCCUUGGUAAAGAAGAAAAUGAAGUUGACUGUCCCCAACAAAAUCAGUAAAAGGAAAUAUAAAGCACAAAGGACCUUGCAUUUUAAAAGAAAAUAUAUAAAAGCAACUCGUGGAGAAAGGGGUAGCUAUGUGCAAUUGAAUAAUACACUGAAGAAGCUGAGGAAGAGAGCGGGUCUCUAGUUUCAUCCUCUAUAUUAUAUGCCUGGCCCUGACAUUCACUUAAGCACACUAAACUUACCAACAAUUUUUAAAAUUUCUCUUGAGUUUGAGGGUUGUAUCUAUCUUCUUUGCAGCUGUCAACCAUGCAUUGCUGUUGUACUCAGGCAAUGUUCAGGAAAUAUUUGUGGUCCUCAAGGUUAUUGUUCAUUGUUCUGAUGUGGUCCUGUGAGAACCUACCUCAGCCCCUGACACUUGGUCACUUAGACAAAUUCAAACUACUUUCAAGACAGGAUCUAAAACAUCGACCUCAAAUCCUACAGAAAAUUCCUAGAGACAGCAUCCUUCCUGCCCAGGUCACUGCUGUCCCCAGGCUUGGCACAUAGUUGAUAAUCUACAUGUAUUUGUUAAAGAACUAACUGAAGAACCACAAUCUGCAACUGAUUACACCCAGAGCCUGGGGGCUGGUCCUUAUGUUGGAAAGCUUUGGACUUCCCUCUGUUAAGAGGAAGAAAAUCUCACUCAUCCUUAGCCUGUGCAUGGUGAAGAUGAAGACACAGCACUAUAGUUGGUUUGGCCUAAUGCUGCUUGUA
Molecule: long non-coding RNA, 1580 nt
Filed under: Mus musculus (house mouse)
Lineage: Eukaryota; Metazoa; Chordata; Mammalia; Rodentia; Muridae
Description: long non-coding RNA chr3:28688604-28690184
Source: RNAcentral